GAUGAACGCUGGCGGCGUGCCUAAUACAUGCAAGUCGAGCGAACGGACGAGAAGCUUGCUUCUCUGAUGUUAGCGGCGGACGGGUGAGUAACACGUGGAUAACCUACCUAUAAGACUGGGAUAACUUCGGGAAACCGGAGCUAAUACCGGAUAAUAUUUUGAACCGCAUGGUUCAAAAGUGAAAGACGGUCUUGCUGUCACUUCUAGAUGGAUCCGCGCUGCAUUAGCUAGUUGGUAAGGUAACGGCUUACCAAGGCAACGAUGCAUAGCCGACCUGAGAGGGUGAUCGGCCACACUGGAACUGAGACACGGUACAGACUCCUACGGGAGGCAGCAGUAGGGAAUCUUCCGCAAUGGGAGAAAGCCUGACGGAGCAACGCCGAGUGAGUGAUGAAGGUCUUCGGAUCGUAAAACUCUGUUAUUAGGGAAGAACAUAUGUGUAAGUAACUGUGCACAUCUUGACGGUACCUAAUCAGAAAGCCACGGCUAACUACGUG
Molecule: ribosomal RNA, 497 nt
Filed under: uncultured bacterium
Lineage: Bacteria
Description: partial 16S ribosomal RNA
Rfam family: Bacterial small subunit ribosomal RNA
Source: RNAcentral